Molecule: long non-coding RNA, 8121 nt
Filed under: Nicotiana tabacum (common tobacco)
Lineage: Eukaryota; Viridiplantae; Streptophyta; Magnoliopsida; Solanales; Solanaceae
Description: long non-coding RNA (NTAB_LNC019476)
Source: RNAcentral
GGGACUUAACACAAAAAGACCUAGGGACUAAUUGGAAAAUACACAAAAAUAAUAAUCUUAACCUAGACUCUUCAUAAAGAAAACACCAUCAGCCGUUUUUCUACAUUGAGGGACCUUUCAUCUUCUCCAAGCAGACAAGAGCUUAGCCGCACACCCAUGGCUGCUUCUUCUUCUUCAUGAACAAGAGAGCAUGGAACCAAACACAAAACCCUAACGCCUGAAAUACACUGAAGAGAGAUCGGAUUAGCCGCAAUACACCAAGGGACUUUUCUUCUUCCUCUUGAACAAAACCAACAGAAAAUCUAGAGCUAGAAGUGAAGAAAAUGCAGCAACAGUAACAGAGAAGUUAGAGCAUUUUCCAUAUUUUCUUGAACGAAAAAGAACAUAGCUGACCUCUCUUCUUCAUCUUCUUAACAAGAAUCCCAGGAACUCACCCUCACCCAAACGAGAAGCGAAACCAGCUGUAGAAAAGACCUCGAAACAGUCACGAGACCCCACGGACACGCUCAUCUUCUCUGAUGGAGUUCGACGAGUAUUAGCCGAGUUUGUCGAUGACGGUUCCGAUCUAAGUUCAUUCGAAAAACUUCUCCGUAUUUUGGUUUAGAGUGUUUGCUGCUAGAGCGAGGCAGUCUGGUCAGAGGUUCAUUGAGGGUCUAUGGCGAGAUUAGUUCGGUCCGCGUCCUGUUCUGAUUUUGCUCCUAGAAUUUCUGCUUGGAAGUUUGUUGAGAAUUCUAUUCAAGAUUGUUUCAGGUUCGUCUCUCUGUUUAUUUUCUUAUUCCGUUUUGGUGAUUGAAUGAACACUCUUCCAAUUCAUAAUAAGACAGCAAAAUUUUGAUGAAUAUUCAGCAAAAAAUGGCAAGUUGGUAUGUCAAACACAAAGUUGUUAGAACUAGCUAGUGUGCAUGUAUCAAGUAGCAGUAGAUAUAAUAUUAGGCUUAUCUGAACUUUUAAAAUUUUCACCUAUUAUGUCUUAUUAUCCAGUCAUAAUCUAUAUAUGGAUUUGAAUGGAAUUUCCUAAAUUAGCGAUAACAGUUUAGUUCCCAAAAUGCCACGUUUAAUAGCUGACGAUAUUACUGUCUUAUUCUGAAUCGUUAGUUGGGCUGUUGAAUGGAUGCUUUCUAUGUUGGUGAUCCUAUUAAGUUCAGCUGUUUAAAGUAAAUAGACAAUUUGUUACUAUUUGAGCGAAGUUCUGUCAAUUAACGAAGACAGCAUGAUAUCUUCAUUUUUGUUGGAUUUUUCUUUAUUUAGAACUCAAUGAAUUGGAAAGUUAAAGAGAAGUGAAGGUUGUAUAAACUGUUUACAAUUUAACUCGUGCUAAAAUUAUUCAUAAAAUGUGAGUGGUGGAUCACAUUAAAAGGGAUAUUGGAUUGAUUAUAUCGGCAUGAACCAAUUUAGUUGCAUUAGCUUGGAAUUGAAAGGAAUCGAGGCGUGCCAUUUAGCGAAUUUUUAUGGCCCUCGCAAAGCUGCAAAUGCGUUAGUUGCUUUAGGCGCGUAUUUUAAUAGUAUUACCUUCCUAAACUCGGGUGUGCAUUUCAUGUGACCCAAAUCAAAUCUUAAAAUGUUGAAUAAAAUAUGUUUAGAAUUGCGGGUGCAUUUCAUAUGGUGCGAUCCAUAGAAGUGUUUUAAACGACGUUUAAUCUUCUUUAAAAUUGAAUAAAAGCGGUUAAAAGCUAAAAUGCAUAUAGGUCUAAAAGUGUUUUUAAAAUUAAAUAAUUGAGCCAAAAAUAACAGUUGAGAGACCGUGCUAGAACCACGGAACUCGGAAAUGCCUAACACCUUCUCUCGGGUUAACAAAAUUCCUUACCCGGAUUUCUGUGUUUGCGGACCGUAAAACAGAGUCAAUCCUUUCCUCAAUUCGGGAUUUGAACUGGUGACUUGGGAUACUAUAAAAUUACCCCAAGUGGAGAUUCUGAAUCUUUUAAUAAAUAAAUCCCGUUUCGAUUUCCUUUAAUUGGAAAAACUCCCUUAUACAUCUCUUUACGGGGGUGUAGGUAAAAAGGAGGUGUGAAAAGAGCUACCUUAGAUUAUACUCCUAGCAGAGUUAUUUCAUUUCUAAAGGCUCAUCGAAUGGCUGAGAAAGGGUGUGACGCGUAUCUAGCUUAUGUGAGAGAUGCUAGUGUUGAUACUCCUACCGUUGAGUCAGUUCGAGUAGUGAGGGAUUAUCCAGAUGUAUUUCAAGUGGAUCAUUCGGUAAUGCCGCCCGAUAGGGAUAUCGACUUUGGUAUUGAUUUGUUACCGGGCACUCAGCCCAUCUUUAUUUCUCCAUAUCAUAUGGCUCUACUAGAGUUGAAAGAGUUAAAGAAGCAGUCGCAGGAGUUGCUUGAUAAGGGCAUCAUUUGGUCCAGUGUGUCGCCUUGGGGUUCUUCAGUCUUGUUUGUGAAGAAGAAGGAUGGCUCUAUACGCAUGUAUAUUGAUUAUCGCCAGUUGAACAAAGUUAGAGUGAAAAUUAUGUACCCAUUACCUCGUAUUGAUGACCUAUUUGAUCAGUUACAGGGUGCCAGAGUGUUCUCCAAGAUUGACUUGUGUUCAGGCUAUCAUUAGUGGAAGAUCCAAAUAUCCCGAAGACUGCCUUCAGGACUCAGUAUGGUCACUACAAGUUCAUUGUGAUGUCAUUUGGACUGACCGACGCCCCAGCAACAUUCAUGCACUUAAUGCACAGUGUAUUCCAACCCUAUCUUAACUCAUUCAUCAUUGUGUUUAUUGACAACAUUCUAGUGUACUCCCGCAGUAGGGAGGAUUAUGAGCAUCACCUGAGGAUUGUGCUCCAGACGUUGAGAGAAAAAAAGUUAUAUGCGAAAUUUCUAAGUAUGAAUUUUGGCAAGAUUCAGUGGCAUUUUUGGGUCAUGUAGUGUCGAGUGAAGGGAUCAAGGUAGAUACGAAGAAGAUCAAAGUAGUGUAGAGGUAGCCCAGACCGUCCCCAGCUAUAGAUAUCUGGAGUUUUCUUUGUUUAGGGGGGUAUUACCGUAUAUUCGUAGAGGGUUCCUUAUAUAUUGCAGAAUCUAUGACCAGGCUGACCAAGAAGGGUGAUCCGUUCAGUUGGAUAGAGGAGUGUGAGGAGAGCUUUCAAAAUCUCAAGGCUGUUUUGACUAUAUCCCCAGUAUUGGUAUUGCCUACAGGUUCGGGGUCUUAUACUGUAUAAUGGGAUACGUCGUGUAUUACUUUCAGCGCUCUGUUGAUGCAAGAAGGUAGGGUGAUUGCCAACGUGUCUAGACAACUGAAUGUACAUGAGAAGAACUAUCCUGUCCACGAGAGUUAGUAGCUAUUGUUCAUGCCUUGAAGAUUUGGCGGCACGAUUUAUACGGUGUCCCUUGUGAGAUAUACACUGAUCACCGUCUGUUCAAAUAGAAGGAUCUUAACUUGCGUCAGCGGAGGUGGUUAGAGUUUCUUAAGUACUAUGAUAUCACCAUUAUAUAUCAUCCUGGGAAGGCCAAUGUGGUGGCCGAUGCCUUGAGCCGCAGGGCGGAGAGUUUGGGCAUUCUAGCAUAUCUACCAGCAGCAGAGAUGCCAUUGGCAUUUGAUGUUCAGGCCUUGGCCAAUCAAUUUGUUAGAUUAGAUGUUUCUAAGACGAGUCAAGUUUUGGCUUGUGUGGUUCUCAUUCUUCUCUUUUUGAUCGUAUCAGGGAGCUUCAGUAUGAUGACCCCCAUCUGCUUGUACUUAAGGACACGGUUCGACACGGUCAUGCCAAGAAGGUCACUAUUGGGGAUGAUGGUGCAUUGAGGAUGCAGGGCAGGCUAUGUGUGCCCAAUAUAGAUGGUUUGCGUAAGCUGAUCUUCAAGAGGCUUACAGAUCACAGUACUCCACUCAUACAGGUGAUGCAAAGAUGUAUCAGAGGUUGAGGUAACAUUAUUGGUGGAGAAGAAUGAAGAAGGACAUAGUGGAGUAUGUAUCUCGGUGCCUAAACUGUCAGCAGGUGAAGUAUGAUCACAACGGCCAGGUGGAUUGCUUCAAAAGCUAGAGAUUUCGGAGUGGAAAUGAGAGUGGAUCACUACGGAUUUUGUUGUUGGGCUUCCAUAGACUCAGAGGAAGUUUGAUGUAGUUUGGUGAUUGUGGAUAUAUUGACCAAGUGGGCUCAUUUCAUACCAGUGAUGACUACUUACUCUUCUGAGCAGCUAUCUUGAGUUUAUAUCUGCGAGAUUGUCAGGCUUCAUGUCUUGCUGGUAUCUAUAAUUUCUAACUGGGGUACGUCGUUUAAAUCAUGGUUCUAUAGGGCUGUACAACAUGAGUUAGAUACUCGAGUAAAGUUGAGCACAACAUUUCACCCUCAAAUGGACAGACAAUCUGAGUGCACUAUUCAGAUAUUGGAGGAUAUGCUCCGUGCAUAUGUUAUAGAGUUUAGGGGUUCUUAGGAUCAGUUAUUGCCACUUGCGGAGUUUGCCUACAACAACAGUUAUCAAUCAAGCAUUCAUAUGGCCCGUAUGAGACUUUGUAUGGUAGGGGGUGUCGGACUCCAGUGGGUUGGUUCGAGUCGAGCGAGGUUAGACUAUUGGGUUCGGACUUAGUUCAGAAUGCUUUGGAAAAGGUUAAAGUGAUUCUGGAUCGACAGUGUACAGCCCAAUCCAGACAGAAGAGUUAUGCAGAUCGGAAGGUUCUCGAUGUUGCAUUCAUGGUUGGGGAGCAGGUCUUGCUCUGAGUUUCGCCCAUGAAGGGUGUUAUGAGGUUUGGGAAAAAGGACAAGUUGAGCCCUACGAAUAUCAGGCCUUUAGAGAUUCUUGAGAGGGUUGGAGAGGUGGCUUACAGACUUGAACUACCACCUAGCCUAGCUAUAAUUCAUCUAGUAUUCCAUGUUUCUAUGCUCCGGAAGUACCAAGUCGAUCUGUCCCAUGUGUUAUAUUUUAGCUCAGUCCAGUUGGACAAGGAUUUGUCAUAUGUUGAGGAGCUAGUGGCCAUUUUAGACCGACAGGUUCGAACGUCAAGGUCGGAGGACAUUGCUUCAGUGAAGGUUCGAUGGAGGGGUCAGCCGUUCGAGGAGGCAACUUGGGAGACUGAGCAUGAUAUGCGUAGCCAUUAUCCUCAUCUUUUCACCACCUCAGGUAUAUCUCUAUGCUCGUUUGACGACGAAAGAUUGUUUUAAGAUUGGAGGAUGUAAUGACCCGGCCGAUCGUUAUAAGAUUAUUAGCCCCAAUCCCCUAUUUAUUGUCCCAUUUGUUUCAUUUUAUGCUUACGUGACUUGCCGGGUUGCUUGGUGCCGGGUUCGGGGGAGUUUCGGAGUGGAAUGGGACACAUAGUCCCUAAGUUUGAAGUUUGAGUUGUAAGAGUUGAUCGUAGUUUGACAUGUGUGAAGAAGACCCUGGAAUGGAGUUUCGUCAAUUCCAGUAGCUCCGUACGGAGAUUUUGGUCUUAGGAGCGUGUUUGGAUGUAGAUUUGGAGGUCCGCAUGUCAUUUCGGCGUUAUUUGGCGAAAGUUGGAAAUUGGAGGAUUUUUGGGAAGUUUGACCGGGAGUGUACUUUUUGAUAUCGGGGUCGAAUUCUGAUUUCAGAAGUUGGAGUAGGUCCGUAAUGUCAAAUGUGACUUGUGUGCAAAAUUUUAGGUGCGUCGGGCGUGAUUUGAUAGGUUUCAACAUCGUUUGUUGAAGUUGAAAAUUCCUUAGUUUCAAUAGGCUUGAAUUGGGGUACGCUUCAUGUUUUUGAUGUUGUUUGAUGUGAUUUGAGGGCUCUACUAAGCUCGUAUGAUAUUUAAGGACUUCUUGGUAUUUUUGGUUGAGGUCCCCGAGGCAUCGGGUGAAUUCUGGAUGGUUAACGGAUUGGAAUUUGGAAUUAAAGAAUGGAUGAGGUGCACCAGUUCUGGUGUAAUCGCACCUGCGCAAGUUUGAUCGCAGGUGCAAUCUUGAAGAAGUGAUAGGGCGAGCGCAUAGGAGGAACUAAAGGGGGUGGAUAGUGGUCGCAGGUGCGACAUGAAGGCCGUAGAAGCGGAGCCUCUCCUGAAGAAGGAUGAUCGAAGAAGCAGAGAGUGAAGGAGCUGAGGUGGCCAAGGUUUUCCGCAGAAGCAGACGAGUAGGUGCAGAAGCUUUUCAGCAUAUGCGGGUGGUGGUGCGCAGGUGCGAUAUUUGGCAGUUUAAGUGAGUUCUGCAGAUGCAGAGAUUUCACUGCAAAAGCGGUACCGCAGAAGCGGAUUGACUGGAUAGAAAAGGGGAAAGGUCGAGGGUUUGAUUUUAUUAUCCAUUUUUGGACCUUCCAACCUUGGAUUGAGACAAGAAUUUGAGAGAUUUUCAGAGGACAUAAUUGGGUAAGAAUUCUUGACUCAUUUUUGAUUAUAUAUCACUAAUCUAUCAUUAAUUUCUUCAUUUAAUUAAGGUUUUGGGUUGAGAAAUUGGGAGAAAAAUGUGUAAAGUUCUUAGACCAAAUUUUGAGGUUUUGAUCGAGAUUUUGGUAUGAUUUGAUUAAUUUUGGUAUGGGUGGACUCGUAGUUGAAUGGAUGUUUGGAUUUUGUGACUUUUACCUGAUUCCGAGACGUAGGCCUGGGUCGACUUUUUGGUGCAAUUUCUUAGUAGUUCUUGUUAACGUCAUGAAUUUAUUAUUUAGAUUAAUUUCUUAUAGGUAUAUUUAUAGUAUGUAAUUGUUUUUGGCUAGAUUUGGGUCAUUCGGGAUUGAAAAGUCGAGGGAAAGACAUUCUUAUUGACUAAUUGAGCUUGGUUUGAGGUAAGUGACUUGUCUAACAUUGUGUGGGAAAAAUCUUCUUAGGAUUUGGUACUGUUGUAAUAAUUUGUGAUAUUUGAGUGUCGUGUACGCGAGGUGGCGAGGGCGUACACGGGCUAAACAUUGAAAUUCCAGUCUUUUCUAAGUAAUUUCCUUUUUAUGCGUUAAUUGGGUUAUUCUAGCACAUGUAAUCAUCAUGUUUAGCCAAAAUUUACUUGUCUACGUGUUUCAUCUCUUUAAUUGAAAUUUGUACAACAUGCUUAGUUGAAUUACCCUUGUUCCUUGAUUCCAUAUUUGUUCUGUAACUGUAGGACUCCUUGCUUGUAGUAUCAUUAUUUCAUUUACUACGUGUUGACUUUCGUGAUUCUUGUUGUGAUGACUGUUUGGUUUGACACGAGGUUUUUUACGUGCGGAGUGUGAUUGACACAAGGUUUCUUCCAUGCGGAGUGUGAUUGGCACGAGGUUUUUUUUCAUGCGGAGUGUUGUUGGCAUGAGGUUUCUUUCGCGUAGAGUGUUAUUGGCACGAGGUUUCUUCCGUGCGGAGUAUUUUUUGCAUGAAGUUUAUUCCGUGCGGUAUAUUGUUGUCACGAGAUUUCUUUUGUGCGGAAUGUUAUGAGCAAGAGGUUUCUUGCCGUGCGGUUACUGUUUUCCUCUAUUUGCUAUGUUGGUUGUUUUUGUUCCUUAAAUUGUAAGAUAUUCAUUUCCUUAUGUGUUGUAAUUGUCUUCUUGUUUUCUAUGUUGUUUUUUCGUACAUUCUUAUUGUUUCAUUAACCUGCCAUUUAUUCUAUCAUUUCACCUUCUGCCUUUUUUUCGCCCCCAUAUCGCCACACGGGGGGAACAUGGGGACGUAAAAAAGGGGGUCCUAUCAACUUGUUCCGAUCUAGGAUAAUAAGCUCAUGAGCUUGGUCUUAUUUCACCAUCAAGAAAGGAAAGAAGACUUCUUAUUUCUCAUAUUCCAGUCGGGCCCUGACCUGACCUCGUUACUACUCUACCGAGGUUAGGCUUAGCACUUACUAGGUACCGUUGUGAUGUACUCAAACUACGCUUUUGCACAUAUUUUUUGCAGGCUUAGGUACUUAUCAGCCUCGUGCUACUGCUUGGAGACUUCAAGGUAUAUCUGCCAGCAUCCGCAAACCUCAGAGUCCCCCUCUAUCCUUAUUAUAUUGUCUUUUCUUUAUUCUCUUAGACGAUGAUGUAUAGAGAUAUUUAGUACUUCCUUAGAGCUUGUGGCUUGUAACUACCAGAUUUUAGGAGUGUCCUUCUUUGAGUUGAAAAUUUUACUUGUACAUGCCAAGGCAAUUUUUCAGUUAUAUAUUUACCUGUUGAUGUUGAGGUUUAGUCGUUAUUUCAAUUCUUUUCUGUAAUUGUUAGGCUUACAUAGUCUUAGAGACUAGGUGCCGCCACGACAUCCUACGGAGGGAAAACUUGGGUCGUGACAUAUGUGCUAGUUACUCGAAAAUUGCAAUUUAUUAGAAAUGCAAUUUCCGGC